RNAcentral lists this ribosomal RNA (420 nucleotides) under uncultured bacterium. Its description in RNAcentral is "bacterial SSU rRNA". It matches the Rfam family "Bacterial small subunit ribosomal RNA", at positions 360 to 773 of the family's 1533-position model. The record is from RNAcentral.
AAUUGUUCACAAUGGGCGCAAGCCUGAUGACGCAACGCCGCGUGGAGGAUGAAGGUCUUCGGAUUGUAAACUCCUGUUGCCCGGGACGAAAAGCCUCGACCUAACACGUCGAGGUCUGACGGUACCGGGUGAGGAAGCCCCGGCUAACUCUGUGCCAGCAGCCGCGGUAAUACAGAGGGGGCAAGCGUUGUUCGGAAUUACUGGGCGUAAAGGGCGCGUAGGCGGCCCGCUAAGUCGAACGUGAAAUCCCCGAGCUCAACUCGGGAACUGCGUCCGAUACUGGCGGGCUUGAAUCCGGGAGAGGGAUGCGGAAUUCCAGGUGUAGCGGUGAAAUGCGUAGAUAUUCGCAAGAACACCAGUGGCGAAGGCGGCUCACUGGCCCGAUACUGACGCUGAGGCACGAAAGCGUGGGGAGCAAAC